Small nuclear RNA from Cricetulus griseus (Chinese hamster), 101 nucleotides. The record is from Ensembl. NCBI's taxonomy places the organism in Eukaryota, Metazoa, Chordata, Mammalia, Rodentia, Cricetidae.
GGUAGAAUUCUAGCCUGCAAUAUACUAAAAUCGGAAUGAUACAGAGAAGCUUAGCAUGGCCCCUGUACUAAAGAAAGCCACACCUCAAGCUUCCCUCUUUC